Molecule: ribosomal RNA, 29 nt
Filed under: Rasamsonia emersonii
Lineage: Eukaryota; Fungi; Ascomycota; Eurotiomycetes; Eurotiales; Trichocomaceae
Also listed under: 6 other names
Description: partial 18S ribosomal RNA
Source: RNAcentral
UAACAAGGUUUCCGUAGGUGAACCUGCGG